GGGUUGUGAGGUUAAGCGACUAAGCGUACACGGUGGAUGCCCUGGCAGUCAGAGGCGAUGAAGGGCGUGCUAAUCUGCGAUAAGCGCCGGUAAGGUGAUAUGAACCGUUAUAACCGGCGAUACCCGAAUGGGGAAACCCAGUGUGAUUCGUCACACUAUCAUUAACUGAAUCCAUAGGUUAAUGAGGCGAACCGGGGGAACUGAAACAUCUAAGUACCCCGAGGAAAAGAAAUCAACCGAGAUUCCCCCAGUAGCGGCGAGCGAACGGGGAGGAGCCCAGAGCCUGAAUCAGCAUGUGUGUUAGUGGAAGCGUCUGGAAAGGCGCGCGAUACAGGGUGACAGCCCCGUACACAAAAGCGCAUGUGCUGUGAGCUCGAUGAGUAGGGCGGGACACGUGGUAUCCUGUCUGAAUAUGGGGGGACCAUCCUCCAAGGCUAAAUACUCCUGACUGACCGAUAGUGAACCAGUACCGUGAGGGAAAGGCGAAAAGAACCCCGGCGAGGGGAGUGAAAAAGAACCUGAAACCGUGUACGUACAAGCAGUGGGAGCACNNNNNNNNNNNNNNNNNNNNNNNNNNNNNNNNNNNNNNNNNNNNNNNNNNNNGGGCGUUAAGUUGCAGGGUAUAGACCCGAAACCCGGUGAUCUAGCCAUGGGCAGGUUGAAGGUUGGGUAACACUAACUGGAGGACCGAACCGACUAAUGUUGAAAAAUUAGCGGAUGACCUGUGGCUGGGGGUGAAAGGCCAAUCAAACCGGGAGAUAGCUGGUUCUCCCCGAAAGCUAUUUAGGUAGCGCCUCGUGAAUUCAUCUCCGGGGGUAGAGCACUGUUUCGGCUAGGGGGCCAUCCCGGCUUACCAACCCGAUGCAAACUGCGAAUACCGGAGAAUGUUAUCACGGGAGACACACGGCGGGUGCUAACGUCCGUCGUGAAGAGGGAAACAACCCAGACCGCCAGCUAAGGUCCCAAAGUCAUGGUUAAGUGGGAAACGAUGUGGGAAGGCCCAGACAGCCAGGAUGUUGGCUUAGAAGCAGCCAUCAUUUAAAGAAAGCGUAAUAGCUCACUGGUCGAGUCGGCCUGCGCGGAAGAUGUAACGGGGCUAAACCAUGCACCGAAGCUGCGGCAGCGACACUGUGUGUUGUUGGGUAGGGGAGCGUUCUGUAAGCCUGCGAAGGUGGCCUGUGAGGGUUGCUGGAGGUAUCAGAAGUGCGAAUGCUGACAUAAGUAACGAUAAAGCGGGUGAAAAGCCCGCUCGCCGGAAGACCAAGGGUUCCUGUCCAACGUUAAUCGGGGCAGGGUGAGUCGACCCCUAAGGCGAGGCCGAAAGGCGUAGUCGAUGGGAAACGGGUUAAUAUUCCCGUACUUGGUGUUACUGCGAAGGGGGGACGGAGAAGGCUAUGUUGGCCGGGCGACGGUUGUCCCGGUUUAAGCGUGUAGGUGUGUGUUCCAGGUAAAUCCGGUUCACUUUAACACUGAGGCGUGACGACGAGGCACUACGGUGCUGAAGCAACAAAUGCCCUGCUUCCAGGAAAAGCCUCUAAGCAUCAGGUAACAUCAAAUCGUACCCCAAACCGACACAGGUGGUCAGGUAGAGAAUACCAAGGCGCUUGAGAGAACUCGGGUGAAGGAACUAGGCAAAAUGGUGCCGUAACUUCGGGAGAAGGCACGCUGACACGUAGGUGAAGUGAUUUACUCAUGGAGCUGAAGUCAGUCGAAGAUACCAGCUGGCUGCAACUGUUUAUUAAAAACACAGCACUGUGCAAACACGAAAGUGGACGUAUACGGUGUGACGCCUGCCCGGUGCCGGAAGGUUAAUUGAUGGGGUCAGCGCAAGCGAAGCUCCUGAUCGAAGCCCCGGUAAACGGCGGCCGUAACUAUAACGGUCCUAAGGUAGCGAAAUUCCUUGUCGGGUAAGUUCCGACCUGCACGAAUGGCGUAAUGAUGGCCAGGCUGUCUCCACCCGAGACUCAGUGAAAUUGAACUCGCUGUGAAGAUGCAGUGUACCCGCGGCAAGACGGAAAGACCCCGUGAACCUUUACUAUAGCUUGACACUGAACAUUGAGCCUUGAUGUGUAGGAUAGGUGGGAGGCUUUGAAGUGUGGACGCCAGUCUGCAUGGAGCCGACCUUGAAAUACCACCCUUUAAUGUUUGAUGUUCUAACGUGGACCCGUUACCCGGGUUGCGGACAGUGUCUGGUGGGUAGUUUGACUGGGGCGGUCUCCUCCUAAAGAGUAACGGAGGAGCACGAAGGUUGGCUAAUCCUGGUCGGACAUCAGGAGGUUAGUGCAAUGGCAUAAGCCAGCUUGACUGCGAGCGUGACGGCGCGAGCAGGUGCGAAAGCAGGUCAUAGUGAUCCGGUGGUUCUGAAUGGAAGGGCCAUCGCUCAACGGAUAAAAGGUACUCCGGGGAUAACAGGCUGAUACCGCCCAAGAGUUCAUAUCGACGGCGGUGUUUGGCACCUCGAUGUCGGCUCAUCACAUCCUGGGGCUGAAGUAGGUCCCAAGGGUAUGGCUGUUCGCCAUUUAAAGUGGUACGCGAGCUGGGUUUAGAACGUCGUGAGACAGUUCGGUCCCUAUCUGCCGUGGGCGCUGGAGAACUGAGGGGGGCUGCUCCUAGUACGAGAGGACCGGAGUGGACGCAUCACUGGUGUUCGGGUUGUCAUGCCAAUGGCACUGCCCGGUAGCUAAAUGCGGAAGAGAUAAGUGCUGAAAGCAUCUAAGCACGAAACUUGCCCCGAGAUGAGUUCUCCCUGAGACUUAGAGUCUCCUGAAGGAACGUUGAAGACGACGACGUUGAUAGGCCGGGUGUGUAAGCGCAGCGAUGCGUUGAGCUAACCGGUACUAAUGAACCGUGAGGCUUAACCUUACAACGCCGAAG
This 2874-nucleotide ribosomal RNA is filed under the name Salmonella enterica subsp. enterica serovar Enteritidis. Its description in RNAcentral is "bacterial LSU rRNA". It matches the Rfam family "Bacterial large subunit ribosomal RNA". The record is from RNAcentral. Lineage: Bacteria; Pseudomonadati; Pseudomonadota; Gammaproteobacteria; Enterobacterales; Enterobacteriaceae.